UACGGGAGGCAGCAGUGGGGAAUAUUGCACAAUGGACGAAAGUCUGAUGCAGCAAUGCCGCGUGUGUGAAGAAGGCCUUAGGGUUGUAAAGCACUUUCAGACGUGAGGAAAAGUAAUAAUUUAAUAAAUUAUUACC
This 136-nucleotide ribosomal RNA is filed under the name uncultured bacterium. RNAcentral's name for it is "partial 16S ribosomal RNA". It matches the Rfam family "Bacterial small subunit ribosomal RNA", at positions 340 to 474 of the family's 1533-position model. The record is from RNAcentral.